RNAcentral lists this ribosomal RNA (911 nucleotides) under Bacillus sp. 2Sp13. RNAcentral describes it as "bacterial SSU rRNA". It matches the Rfam family "Bacterial small subunit ribosomal RNA", at positions 1 to 878 of the family's 1533-position model. The record is from RNAcentral. Lineage: Bacteria; Bacillati; Bacillota; Bacilli; Caryophanales; Bacillaceae.
NNNNNNNNCCGGAAAUAUCCCUUUUGUGUUAAUCUGGGUAGGACGCACGGGGGGGGGGGCCUAAAAAGGCAGUUGAGGGGACAAAGGAGCUGGUUCCCGAAUGUAGGCGCGCACGGGUGAGUACACGUGGGUACCCUGCAGAUAGGACUGGGAUAACUCCGGGAAACCCGGAGNUAAAACCUGAAUAGAUCCUUUGACCCGCNUGGGUUCANGAAUGAAAGACGGGUUUCUGCUGUCACUUACAGAUGGACCCCGCGGCGCAUUAGCUAGUUGGUGAGGUAACGGCUCACCAAGGCGACGAUGCGUAGCCGACCUGAGAGGGUGAUCGGCCACACUGGGACUGAGACACGGCCCAGACUCCUACGGGAGGCAGCAGUAGGGAAUCUUCCGCAAUGGACGAAAGUCUGACGGAGCAACGCCGCGUGAGUGAUGAAGGUUUUCGGAUCGUAAAGCUCUGUUGUUAGGGAAGAACAAGUGCAAGAGUAACUGCUUGCACCUUGACGGUACCUAACCAGAAAGCCACGGCUAACUACGUGCCAGCAGCCGCGGUAAUACGUAGGUGGCAAGCAGAUAUGUCCGGAAUUAUUGGGCGUAAAGGGCUCGCAGGCGGUUUCUUAAGUCUGAUGUGAAAGCCCCCGGCUCAACCGGGGAGGGUCAUUGGAAACUGGGAAACUUGAGUGCAGAAGAGGAGAGUGGAAUUCCACGUGUAGCGGUGAAAUGCGUAGAGAUGUGGAGGAACACCAGUGGCGAAGGCGACUCUCUGGUCUGUAACUGACGCUGAGGAGCGAAAGCGUGGGGAGCGAACAGGAUUAGAUACCCUGGUAGUCCACGCCGUAAACGAUGAGUGCUAAGUGUUAGGGGGUUUCCGCCCCUUAGUGGUGCAGCUAACGCAUUAAGCACUCUGCCUGGGC